Molecule: ribosomal RNA, 245 nt
Filed under: uncultured bacterium
Lineage: Bacteria
Description: partial 16S ribosomal RNA
Rfam family: Bacterial small subunit ribosomal RNA
Source: RNAcentral
GAGGAUGCGAGCGUUAUCCGGAUUUAUUGGGUUUAAAGGGAGCGCAGACGGGAUGUUAAGUCAGCUGUGAAAGUUUGCGGCUCAACCGUAAAAUUGCAGUUGAUACUGGCGUCCUUGAGUGCGGUUGAGGUGUGCGGAAUUCGUGGUGUAGCGGUGAAAUGCUUAGAUAUCACGAAGAACCCCGAUUGCGAAGGCAGCACACUAAGCCGUAACUGACGUUCAUGCUCGAAAGUGUGGGUAUCAAA